This is a long non-coding RNA of Pocillopora damicornis (cauliflower coral), 1249 nucleotides long. Lineage: Eukaryota; Metazoa; Cnidaria; Anthozoa; Scleractinia; Pocilloporidae. The record is from RefSeq and is a predicted model, not a curated record.
AGUUGUGAGGUUGCUAUCAAUAUUGUUGAUAUCAAUUAGUACAUCUUUGUACAAUGGAUUAUGUACUUUGAGCCAGUUAAGAACUUGUUGUAUUAACUCUGGUCGUGAUGCUUUAAAAUAAACUUGUCCUCCAGAUUGUAACUUUCUUUUAAGCUUAAUUAUUAUUAUACAAGAUCUAUCAGGUUGAUGAGGGAGUUGAUAACAUGUCUGAUCACAUUCUACAGAUUAUCCACAAAGAAUAAAUACUUACAGAAAACUUCUGCCCAGAACCACAGGCCUCUCUACCAAAAGAAUACUUUGUUUAAGUUUGAUACUUUAGGUAACUUGCUUUAUUUGCAAAAUAAUUAACAUAGAAGGCAUCAGUCUAUACACAUUAGCACAACUGCCAAAAUUUGUUUCAGCCAGAAACUUGUUUAUUUUUUUUCAAUCAUUGAUAAUCAUGAUGUUAUCCCACCCAUUGAUCUGUAUGGCCUUGUACAAACGUAUGAAACAUGUUUCUCUAUUAUUUUGUUCAUGGGAUGCUCAAGUUCAGAAAAAAUCUCCAAUGAUUAUUGUUAGGGCCACAGCUUUGCCAAGCAGCUGGGCUAAAAAAGAUUGAACAGUUGGCAAUACAGAAAACAAUACUGAAUACACCAAUUGGCAACAGGUUCUAUGCUGUCAUACAUAUGUUUUUUCUGUGUUUUCUCAUGAUGUGUUUCCUUUCAAUUUUAGUAAUUUUACAUGAACAGCAAAUAAAUUGUAUAUCACAUUCCAUAGUCAGUGACAUUCCUGUCUAUUUUGAAUAAUAUUAAUUUACUCUUCUAGAUUAUCCACACCACGAAUAUGUAUUGUCUGUUUCAUUGCAGGUGAAUGACUGUCUUCAUAUGUCAGAAGAGAAAACAAUUGCUUAACUUUUGUAUUUUGUUGAUAAAUACAAGCUAUACAGUAACUUGAAAUCCACAUUAAAAAUCCUGUUUUCCCAGUGGGGUUCCUUAAAAUCAAGGUCUCUAAAGAUGUUCUGCUUUCAGUUAAAUUACUUAAUUCUCUGUGACUUACUUCAUUAACAUGUACAUUUAUGUUAGUGCCAAAAAUUGUAAAACUGUCAGUCAGGGUAACUGAUAUUAAACAGUGGUUACUCUGCAUUGUAUUGUUAAGCUGAAAUCCAUUUUCAAUAAUUGCAUCUAAGGUAUUUGAGUUCUAGUAAGUACAAGGUGAAAUGAUUGAAUAAUGUGGAAUAAAGAACUUCUGCAAAACAGUGGUCUUUGUGACA